Ricinus communis (castor bean) is the source of this 2088-nucleotide long non-coding RNA. RefSeq lists it as uncharacterized. The transcript is spliced from 2 exons. Lineage: Eukaryota; Viridiplantae; Streptophyta; Magnoliopsida; Malpighiales; Euphorbiaceae. The record is from RefSeq and is a predicted model, not a curated record.
CUGCCACGUAUAUAGGUGUUCAAAAUGCCAGCUAAGCCACGUCAUUAGAACUGCCAGAUAAAUACUAACGUUCAUAAAGUUCUGCGUGUUGACAACGUUGGCUGCAGCUCUCUCAUCUCUCUAACAAACGACCAAAAGCCAUCAGCUCGCACUCGGAGCAAUAAAGAGACCGGCGAAGACAUCUAAAAUGGUGCCUCUUUACCUUAAUUCGUGGGUUUCAGAAUCAUAACCUGUACAUUGAUGUGUACUUUUAUCGUUCUGGGUAGUCUGCUGUUGGUGCCACUAUCAGAAUUUCAUGCUUAGUUAUGUAUGUUACAAGUAACUGUAUUUUUUGUUUUCUUGAAUUUGCUUCAAUUUCAACUGAGAUUCUUCUUAUGACAGAAAUAAAUAAACGAAGUAUCCCAAUCUAUUGAUUGAUUCAGUUCUUUAUGACAAUACAAUUGCCUUCAGUGAGGCCCUAGGUUGUGCUUGAGAUUUAUGUUUGGCCAGCCAAUCUGAUUGAAACAUUUUUCUUUUUCAAGUGCCUAAACAGAAAGCUGAUUUGGGAGUUUAUAGGUUGGGGAUUAUUUCAUAUUGUUUCUGAGAAAGACUUUAAAGACAAUGGAGGUGGUUUAGGUAUGUGAGUAGGAGGAGUAAGUUGUUGAAUAUAAGCGUAGCCGUUCAUGUAUGCGCAAACAGGCUUGUCAUCUACCUACAUAAUCAUUUUUGACUUUGCGACGUGAGGUGGAGCUCAAACUAUUUUAUUCUCAGAUGCAUUUUUCACUCGUUACUAUUGGCUCCGAAACGGCGUUUGGGCUUGCAUUGCGCGGGUGAUCAUGGAAUUGUUGGAGUCAGGAAUACGAAAUUGAUGUUUAUAAUUGUACGGUUCUUUGUCAAUAAUGUCUAUAAGAUUUAGAUUAUCUGUAAACAGCUGCACUGCAGGUUUACAUACUGUUGCUGGCACAAAACAAAGAGUCAGAAAGCGGAAAGGAAUGUCAAAUUACAGAUGACGUGACGUCAAAAAUAAUUAAUCGCUGCCAAUUUUGCAUGACAUAGACAGGAGAUGGGAUAGAGGUAACUAUAUCAACCCCUUUCGUUACCAACCCAUUAUCAUUGGUAUCUGCAUAUAUUUUCACAGUGGCUGUGCUUCACAUUGCGUUGGUUUAUUCAGAAAGCACCAUGUGGAUGCGGGCAAGCAAUCUUAUUGCAUGAGUUGUAAUUCUACCUCUCCAUUUUAAACUAUGAACAACGGGAAAAAGAAUUGAACUCCUUUGCCCCAACCCCUCUCCUUCAGGGCACAGAGAAGGGUGCUGUGGAAACAAGAAGCAGAAUUUCUUUCAAGAAUUAUUGAUAUACAUACCCUGAUUUUGAGAUGAUAACUUGACAGAAUUCUUCUCUUUAAGAUUAACCUUUUUUCUCAGUAUUCUUCUUUUUUAAGCUGUAUUUCUUUAUUCUUCUUUUUUCCUUCUUUUGCAUGAUGCAUUUGUUGAAAAGUGAAACCUAGGCUUUUAGGUUAAUUCAUUCUAGUUUGCUGCAGGUCUCAUUGGUCUUCUUGGUAAAUAUGUGAUAGAAAUGGUUCAGCAAGUAGCCAUUUCACUAAGUUUCUAGCUAUACCUGUUCCUGGUAUGACUCAUGCAUAUGCUCGCUCGCUCGCUCGCAUGCUUCGAUGUGUAUUUGCAUUCAAAGUUGCACCCAUGCACAGGAUUUUGCGCGAGUUCAUUCAGCUGUUUGAAAGAAUUUGCUGGUUUCAAUAUUGAGUUGUCUUUUUCGUUUUCAUCUUUUCCCCACAGGGAAUUCACAGUGGUAUCAAAUUUAAUACUGGAAUGAUUUCCUGUAAAUUACAAUAUUAGUGUCACUAAGGUUUUGGCAUACAUCGUCGAUUUUGCAGACAGUAACAUAACUGAAGCAAGCUCACAAGCUACUGAUGCCAAGUUGGAGAGGAAACUAUGGGAUUUCAGCUUAGAAUUGAUCAACAGAUGCAAUGUCCGUAUAUAGAAGCCGAAGUAGCUAAUGAAUAUGAACAGUAGCGGACAGUUCACUGUACACUAUUAUAGUGGCUUUUUUUAUUUUGGUAGUGUUUUCUAUCAAGCUAGAUUAUCUUUUUUCUGA